RNAcentral lists this ribosomal RNA (608 nucleotides) under uncultured soil bacterium. Its description in RNAcentral is "bacterial SSU rRNA". It matches the Rfam family "Bacterial small subunit ribosomal RNA", at positions 865 to 1472 of the family's 1533-position model. The record is from RNAcentral.
UUGACCGCCUGGGGAGUACGGCCGCAAGGUUAAAACUCAAAGGAAUUGACGGGGACCCGCACAAGCGGUGGAUGAUGUGGAUUAAUUCGAUGCAACGCGAAGAACCUUACCUACCCUUGACAUGCCAGGGAGCCCGCUGAGAGGUGGGUGUGCCCGAAAGGGAGCCUGGACACAGGUGCUGCAUGGCUGUCGUCAGCUCGUGUCGUGAGAUGUUGGGUUAAGUCCCGCAACGAGCGCAACCCUUGUCACUAGUUGCUACGCAAGGGCACUCUAGUGAGACUGCCGGUGACAAACCGGAGGAAGGUGGGGAUGACGUCAAGUCCUCAUGGCCCUUAUGGGUAGGGCUUCACACGUCAUACAAUGGCGCAUACAGAGGGCUGCCAACCCGCGAGGGGGAGCCAAUCCCAGAAAGUGCGUCGUAGUCCGGAUUGCAGUCUGCAACUCGACUGCAUGAAGUCGGAAUCGCUAGUAAUCGCGGAUCAGCAAUGUCGCGGUGAAUACGUUCCCGGGUCUUGUACACACCGCCCGUCACACCAUGGGAGUGGGUUUCACCAGAAGCCGGUUGCCUAACCUCGCGAGAGGGGGGCGCUGACCACGGUGAGAUUCAU